Molecule: long non-coding RNA, 536 nt
Organism: Salvia splendens (bonfire salvia)
Lineage: Eukaryota; Viridiplantae; Streptophyta; Magnoliopsida; Lamiales; Lamiaceae
Exons: 2
Source: RefSeq, a predicted model, not a curated record
AAAACAGAUCUUGAAUUAUUGCAGUGACAAAAACCAUAUGGAAAAGCACAACACGCCUCUGCAAUGCUGCAUAUAUAUAUAUAUAUAUAUAUGGUUGCUUUUUUUUUUAGUAAUAACUUAAAUCCCAAUUGAGUUUUACGACAAACAAUACCCUUCAUUGCUUUAGGUAUUCUACAAAUCCACAAAUGGUUUACAGAAGAAUUGAAAUUAUGGCUGUUUUCUUAGUGAUGACUCUUCUCAUUUCCUCACAAGUUGCAGACACUCGACACCUCAAUCGAGUCCCAUCUAAAGAAGGUGAGAAGGUUAUGGGAAGUGAUGCACGUUUUGAGUGCCCAAAUGGAUGUUGUGGUAUUUUCAGCCCUUAUUGCCGCUGCUGUCCUAAUCCCAACACCCACAAUCCAACCAAUCCACAUACUUGAUGUUUUAUUUUAUGUAAAAUUAAGAUGUUUUAAAAAUUUAAGUAAAGGAAAGUGAAGUCUAUGUAUUUCUAAAGGUUCGAUUUAUCUUUAAAUGAAUGAGUUGAUUUACUAUGGGCA